Molecule: long non-coding RNA, 263 nt
Filed under: Monodelphis domestica (gray short-tailed opossum)
Lineage: Eukaryota; Metazoa; Chordata; Mammalia; Didelphimorphia; Didelphidae
Description: lncRNA (ENSMODG00000051465.1)
Source: RNAcentral
GAGAAUCUGAAUUCUUGAUGAGAGACCACAGUGCCAUUUUUUAUGGAUUCUUCCAUAUCUGAUAGAUGUCAUUUCAUUUAUGUGGAUGUUUUCACUAGUGCUGAGGACUCCAAGCAUCUAUCAAUUAACAAGCAUUUAUUAGUUCUGCAGACCUGACAGAGGGUAUGCAGCUAGGGCUAAUAAUGGACAUGAACUGAGUAAGUAUUCUCCCAAUUGCCCUCUGUUCCUCUACUCCCCAAUAUAGUCUUCUGUCUUAAUUUUAA